UGCAUAUAACUUUCUUUAUUGAAAGUGCGUUUUGUUUUAGAAUGUCACUAAAGAAUUGUCAGAACUGAGAAGCAAUGGACACCAUAAUUAAUAUCAUGCAUUUUCCUUUCUCUUUUGUCUGAAGAACUUUGUUGUUUACAGGAAAAAAGAUGAAAAAGUGAUGGUUAGUUCUUCUUAGUGGAGACUGCAGAAAUACAAGAGAUAGGACCAUAGUCUUCUUUCUACCUAGGAAACAC
This 236-nucleotide long non-coding RNA is filed under the name Cicer arietinum (chickpea). RNAcentral describes it as "long non-coding RNA (CARI_LNC000590)". Lineage: Eukaryota; Viridiplantae; Streptophyta; Magnoliopsida; Fabales; Fabaceae. The record is from RNAcentral.